This 479-nucleotide ribosomal RNA is filed under the name uncultured Entrophospora. Its description in RNAcentral is "SSU rRNA". It matches the Rfam family "Eukaryotic small subunit ribosomal RNA", at positions 569 to 1046 of the family's 1831-position model. Lineage: Eukaryota; Fungi; Glomeromycota; Glomeromycetes; Entrophosporales; Entrophosporaceae. The record is from RNAcentral.
AGCAGCCGCGGUAAUUCCAGCUCCAAUAGCGUAUAUUAAAGUUGUUGCAGUUAAAAAGCUCGUAGUUGAAUUUCGGGAUUGACGUGAUGGUCGUGCCUUAAGGGGUAUGAACUGUCGCAGUUGAUUUCUCACCUUCUGGAGAAGCAUGAUGUCCUUAAUUGGGUGUCAUGUGGAACCAGGACCUAUACCUUGAAAAAAUUAGAGUGUUUAAAGCAGGCAUUUUGCUCGAAUACAUUAGCAUGGAAUAAUAGAAUAGGACGGCAUGGUUCUAUUUUGUUGGUUUCUAGGAUCACCGUAAUGAUUAAUAGGGAUAGUUGGGGGCAUUAGUAUUCAAUUGUCAGAGGUGAAAUUCUUGGAUUUAUUGAAGACUAACUACUGCGAAAGCAUUUGCCAAGGAUGUCUUCACUAAUCAAGAACGAAAGUUAGGGGAUCGAAGACGAUCAGAUACCGUCGUAGUCUUAACCAUAAACUAUGCCGAC